Molecule: long non-coding RNA, 1073 nt
Organism: Oryzias melastigma (Indian medaka)
Lineage: Eukaryota; Metazoa; Chordata; Actinopteri; Beloniformes; Adrianichthyidae
Exons: 2
Source: RefSeq, a predicted model, not a curated record
GGUGUUUGUUGAGAUUUUUAGUACUUUUAAAGGGUAAUCAAAUCGUGCAGUUGGUUGCACAAUCCAUAGACUGGAUGCACAAAGCUGUGUGACGUACUUCCGGUUUCUAGAUAGUCUAGCGGUUAAACUCCCGCGCUAACAAACAAGAGAUUGCCGGUUCAAACCCAACUCAGGGCUUAGUUGUUUGUUUCUUUUUUUUUAAUCCCAAAACUGUUCUAUUCAGGUAAAUCAUUUUUUUAAAGAAUAUACAAGGGCAAUAAAUGACAAAAUAUCGAUGUGGGGGGUGUUUGUUUUGAUUUUGGCACUUUUAAAAGGUAAUCAAAUAGUACAGUUGGUUGCUCAAUCCAUAGACUGGAUGCACAAAGCUGUGUGACGUACUUCCGGUUUCUAGAUAGUCUAGCGGUUAAACUCCCGCGCUAACAAACAAGAGAUUGCCGGUUCAAACCCAACUCGGGGCUUAUUUGUUUGUUUCUUUUUUUUUUAAUCCCAAAACUGUUCAAUUCAGGUAAAUAAUUUUUUUAAAGAAUAUACAAGGGCAAUAAAUGACAAAAUAGCAAUGUGGGGGGUGUUUGUUUUGAUUUUGGCACUUUUAAAAGGUAAUCAACUAGUACAGUUGGUUGCUUGAUCCAUGCACUGUAUGCACAAAGCUGUGUGAUGUACUUCCGGUUUCUAGCUAGCCUAGCGGUUAAACUCCCGUGCUUACAAUCAAGAGGUCGCUGGUUCAAACCCAACUCGGUGCUUAUUUAUUUGUUUCUUUUUUUUUUUUUUUUAGCCCAAAACUGUUCAUUUCAGUGAUUUAUGCCUCAUCGUGCAGUUUUUAAUCAUUCUCUGAUUGCUGGAGAGGAAGAAUCAGCAGGACUCUGAUUCCUAAGAACUGUUUGCAGCUUCAAAAAUCAACAGGAAGUGUGUUCUGUCUGCCUCCAAACAAUGACUGUGUGGUUUCCAUCCCACACGCAUCAGCCCACUGACACCUCUCACUGAAGAGCCACAGAUCUGUGUCAAGGAUGCAGCAUCGAUGUGGAGAACGAACAAAUCUCCAAACUUCAGGAAUAAAAAUUAUAGAAAAGAAUAAA